RNAcentral lists this ribosomal RNA (921 nucleotides) under uncultured Cortinarius. RNAcentral's name for it is "eukaryotic LSU rRNA". It matches the Rfam family "Eukaryotic large subunit ribosomal RNA", at positions 36 to 943 of the family's 3401-position model. Lineage: Eukaryota; Fungi; Basidiomycota; Agaricomycetes; Agaricales; Cortinariaceae. The record is from RNAcentral.
UAGCAUAUCAAUAAGCGGAGGAAAAGAAACUAACAAGGAUUCCCCUAGUAACUGCGAGUGAAGCGGGAAAAGCUCAAAUUUAAAAUCUGGCAGCCUUUGGUUGUCCGAGUUGUAAUCUAGAGAAGUGUUAUCCGCGCUGGACCGUGUACAAGUCUCCUGGAAUGGAGCGUCAUAGAGGGUGAGAAUCCCGUCUUUGACACGGACUGCCAGGGCUUUGUGAUGCGCUCUCAAAGAGUCGAGUUGUUUGGGAAUGCAGCUCAAAAUGGGUGGUAAAUUCCAUCUAAAGCUAAAUAUUGGCGAGAGACCGAUAGCGAACAAGUACCGUGAGGGAAAGAUGAAAAGAACUUUGGAAAGAGAGUUAAACAGUACGUGAAAUUGCUGAAAGGGAAACGCUUGAAGUCAGUCGCGUUGUCCAGGGAUCAACCUUGCUUUUGCUUGGUGCACUUUCUGGUCGACGGGUCAGCAUCAAUUUUGACUAUUGGAAAAAGAUUAGGGGAAUGUGGCAUCUUUGGAUGUGUUAUAGCCCUUGGUUGCAUACAAUGGUUGGGAUUGAGGAACUCAGCACGCCGCAAGGCCGGGUUUUUAACCACGUACGUGCUUAGGAUGCUGGCAUAAUGGCUUUAAUCGACCCGUCUUGAAACACGGACCAAGGAGUCUAACAUGCCUGCGAGUGUUUGGGUGGAAAACCCGAGCGCGUAAUGAAAGUGAAAGUUGAGAUCCCUGUCGUGGGGAGCAUCGACGCCCGGACCAGACCUUUUGUGACGGUUCCGCGGUAGAGCAUGUAUGUUGGGACCCGAAAGAUGGUGAACUAUGCCUGAAUAGGGUGAAGCCAGAGGAAACUCUGGUGGAGGCUCGUAGCGAUUCUGACGUGCAAAUCGAUCGUCAAAUUUGGGUAUAGGGGCGAAAGACUAAUCGAACCAU